AUUGAACGCUGGCGGCAGGCCUAACACAUGCAAGUCGAACGGUAACAGGAAGAAGCUUGCUUCUUUGCGGAGGAGGGGCGGACGGGAGAGUAAUGUCUGGGAAACUGCCUGAGGGAGGGGGAUAACUACUGGAAACGGUAGCUAAUACCGCAUAACGUCGCAAGACCAAAGAGGGGGACCUUCGGGCCUCUUGCCAGCGGAUGUGCCCAGAUGGGAUUAGCUAGUAGGUGGGGUAACGGCUCACCGAGGCGACGAUCCGUAGCUAGUCUGAGAGGAUGACCAGCCACACUGGAACUGAGACACGGUCCAGACUCCUACGGGAGGCAGCAGUGGGGAAUAUUGCACAAUGGGCGCAAGCCUGAUCCAGCCAUGCCGCGUGUAUGAAGAAGGCCUUCGGGUUGUAAAGUGCUUUCAGCGGGGACGAAGAGAGUAAAGUUAAUACCUGUAGUUAUUGACGUUACCGGCAGAAGAAGCACCGGCUAACUACGUG
Molecule: ribosomal RNA, 490 nt
Filed under: uncultured bacterium
Lineage: Bacteria
Description: partial 16S ribosomal RNA
Rfam family: Bacterial small subunit ribosomal RNA
Source: RNAcentral